UUCAUUUAUUCAUCAAAGACUCCGACGUACAGAGACAGGGUUGAAUGGUCCACCGGGGGCGGCGGAGGCCGCUCUGCCCCCGAGGCAAAAGUGGUUUGGUCAACAAAGGGUUGGGGACGGGGGCCCGGAGGCCCGCCAUCUCUGGUAAUGAUCCCUCCGCAGGUUCACCUACGGAGA
This 177-nucleotide unclassified non-coding RNA is filed under the name uncultured fungus. RNAcentral describes it as "sequence contains ITS1". Lineage: Eukaryota; Fungi. The record is from RNAcentral.